UUCAGACCUUUCGACUACUACUGCAGUGCUGACAACAUGAGUAGUAGCAGCUAUGUAAUUGUAACGACCCUGGUUAAAUCAGCCGAGUUAAUCAAAAUCGGAGUCCCUAAUUCCGCUGACUCAGCUCCUCUAAGCUUAAGCGCUCAACCUCCAGUUCCCGAUCCCGACCCCUGAAAACCCAACCAGAACCACCGGUUCCUUCUAAGUCUCAACAGCAGUGUUCCUUUCC
Molecule: long non-coding RNA, 229 nt
Filed under: Setaria viridis
Lineage: Eukaryota; Viridiplantae; Streptophyta; Magnoliopsida; Poales; Poaceae
Description: long non-coding RNA (SVIR_LNC010823)
Source: RNAcentral